RNAcentral lists this ribosomal RNA (404 nucleotides) under uncultured Polaribacter sp. RNAcentral's name for it is "bacterial SSU rRNA". It matches the Rfam family "Bacterial small subunit ribosomal RNA", at positions 75 to 477 of the family's 1533-position model. The record is from RNAcentral. Lineage: Bacteria; Pseudomonadati; Bacteroidota; Flavobacteriia; Flavobacteriales; Flavobacteriaceae.
UGUGCUUGCACAGAUGACGACCGGCGCACGGGUGCGUAACGCGUAUAGAACCUACCUUUUACAGAGGAAUAGCCUUUAGAAAUGAAGAUUAAUGCCUCAUAGUAUUGUAGACUGGCAUCAGUUUAUAAUUAAAGAUUUAUCGGUAAAAGAUGGCUAUGCGUCCUAUUAGUUAGUUGGUAAGGUAACGGCUUACCAAGACAGCGAUAGGUAGGGGUCCUGAGAGGGAGAUCCCCCACACUGGUACUGAGACACGGACCAGACUCCUACGGGAGGCAGCAGUGAGGAAUAUUGGACAAUGGAGGAGACUCUGAUCCAGCCAUGCCGCGUGUAGGAAGAAUGCCCUAUGGGUUGUAAACUACUUUUAUACAGGAAGAAACACUGGUAUGUAUACCAGCUUGACGGUA